GACGAACGCUGGCGGCGUGCCUAAUACAUGCAAGUUGAGCGCUGAAGGUUGGUACUUGUACCGGCUGGAUGAGCAGCGAACGGGUGAGUAACGCGUGGGGAAUCUGCCUUUGAGCGGGGGGCAACAUUUGGAAACGAAUGCUAAUACCGCAUAAAAACUUUAAACACAAGUUUUAAGUUUGAAAGAUGCAAUUGCAUCACUCAAAGAUGAUCCCGCGUUGUAUUAGCUAGUUGGUGAGGUAAAGGCUCACCAAGGCGAUGAUACAUAGCCGACCUGAGAGGGUGAUCGGCCACAUUGGGACUGAGACACGGCCCAAACUCCUACGGGAGGCAGCAGUAGGGAAUCUUCGGCAAUGGACGAAAGUCUGACCGAGCAACGCCGCGUGAGUGAAGAAGGUUCUCGGAUCGUAAAACUCUGUUGGUAGAGAAGAACGUUGGUGAGAGUGGAAAGCUCAUCAAGUGACGGUAACUACCCAGAAAGGGACGGCUAACUACGUG
This 497-nucleotide ribosomal RNA is filed under the name uncultured bacterium. Its description in RNAcentral is "partial 16S ribosomal RNA". It matches the Rfam family "Bacterial small subunit ribosomal RNA", at positions 28 to 507 of the family's 1533-position model. The record is from RNAcentral.